GUACACCAAUGUGAGGAGC
Molecule: non-coding RNA, 19 nt
Filed under: Rattus norvegicus (Norway rat)
Lineage: Eukaryota; Metazoa; Chordata; Mammalia; Rodentia; Muridae
Source: RNAcentral